GUGUCAGCAGCCGCGGUAAUACGUAGGUGGCAAGCGUUGUCCGGAAUUACUGGGCGUAAAGGGCGUGUAGGCGGGGCGGCAAGUCAGGUGUGAAAUCCCGGGGCUUAACUCCGGAGCUGCAUCUGAAACUGCUGUUCUUGAGUGCUGGAGAGGAAAGUGGAAUUCCCAGUGUAGCGGUGAAAUGCGUAGAGAUUGGGAGGAACACCAGUGGCGAAGGCGGCUUUCUGGACAGUAACUGACGCUGAGGCGCGAAAGCGUGGGGAGCAAACAGGAUUAGAUACCCUGGUAGUCCACGCCGUAAACGAUGGAUACUAGGUGUAGGAGGUAUCGACCCCUUCUGUGCCGGAGUUAACACAAUAAGUAUCCCGCCUGGGGAGUACGGCCGCAAGGCUGAAACUCAAAUGAAUUGGCGG
This 413-nucleotide ribosomal RNA is filed under the name uncultured bacterium. Its description in RNAcentral is "bacterial SSU rRNA". It matches the Rfam family "Bacterial small subunit ribosomal RNA", at positions 505 to 916 of the family's 1533-position model. The record is from RNAcentral.